AACGAACGCUGGCGGCAUGCCUAACACAUGCAAGUCGAACGAGACCUUCGGGUCUAGUGGCGCACGGGUGCGUAACGCGUGGGAACCUGCCCUUAGGUUCGGAAUAACUCCCCGAAAGGGGUGCUAAUACCGGAUAAUGUCUUCGGACCAAAGAUUUAUCGCCUUUGGAUGGGCCCGCGUUUGAUUAGCUAGUUGGUAGGGUAAAAGCCUACCAAGGCGACGAUCCAUAGCUGGUCUGAGAGGAUGAUCAGCACACUGGGACUGAGACACGGCCCAGACUCCUACGGGAGGCAGCAGUGGUGAAUAAUGGACACUGGGCGAAAGCCUGAUCCAGCAAUGCCGCGUGAGUGAUGAAGGCCUUAGGGUUGUAAAGCUCUUUUACCCGGGAUGAUAAUGACAGUACCGGGAGAAUAAGCUCCGGCUAACUCCGU
Molecule: ribosomal RNA, 431 nt
Filed under: uncultured bacterium
Lineage: Bacteria
Description: partial 16S ribosomal RNA
Rfam family: Bacterial small subunit ribosomal RNA
Source: RNAcentral